AACGAACGCUGGCGGCAUGCCUAACACAUGCCAGUCGAACGAGACCUUCGGGUCUAGUGGCGCACGGGUGCGUAACGCGUGGGAACCUGCCCUUAGGUUCGGAAUAACUCCCCGAAAGGGGUGCUAAUACCGGUUAAUGUCUUCGGACCAAAGAUUUUUCGCCUUUGGAUGGGCCCGCGUUGGAUUAGCUAGUUGGUAGGGUAAAAGCCUACCAAGGCGAGGAUCCAUAGCUGGUCGGAGAGGAGGACCAGCCACACUGGGACUGAGACACGGCCCAGAAUCGGACGGGAGGGAGCAGUGGGGAAUAUUGGAGAAGGGGGGAAAGCCUGAUCCAGCAAUGCCGCGUGAGUGAUGAAGGCCUUAGGGUUGUAAAGCUCUUUUACCCGGGACGAUAAUGACAGUACCGGGAGAAUAAGCACCGGCUAACUCCGUG
Molecule: ribosomal RNA, 433 nt
Filed under: uncultured bacterium
Lineage: Bacteria
Description: partial 16S ribosomal RNA
Rfam family: Bacterial small subunit ribosomal RNA
Source: RNAcentral